RNAcentral lists this ribosomal RNA (253 nucleotides) under uncultured bacterium. RNAcentral's name for it is "partial 16S ribosomal RNA". It matches the Rfam family "Bacterial small subunit ribosomal RNA", at positions 524 to 776 of the family's 1533-position model. The record is from RNAcentral.
UACGUAGGGUGCGAGCGUUAAUCGGAAUUACUGGGCGUAAAGCGUGCGCAGGCGGUUUGUUAAGUCAGAUGUGAAAGCCCCGGGCUCAACCUGGGAACUGCAUUUGAAACUGGCGGGCUUGAGUGUGGCAGAGGGGGGUGGAAUUCCGCGUGUAGCGGUGGAAUGCGUAGAGAUCCGGAAGAACACCGGUGGCGAAGGCGGCCUGCUGGGCAGUUGCUGACACUGAGGCACGAAAGCGUGGGGAGCAAACAGG